UAUGUGAUCGUCUCUCGCAUAUCAAUAAGCGGAGGAAAAGAAACUAACAAGGAUUCCCCUAGUAACGGCGAGUGAAGCGGGAAGAGUUCAAAUUUGAAAUCUUGAAGGGUUUCCCUUUACGAAUUGUAGUUUAAAGAAGUGUUUUCUGUUGAGGUUUUGGUAAAAGUUCUUUGGAAUAGGACAUCAUAGAGGGUGAGAAUCCCGUAUUUGACCUUUACUUUCAACUUUGUGAUACACUUUCAAAGAGUCGGAUUGUUUGGGAAUGCAGUCCAAAAUGGGUGGUAAAUUUCAUCUAAAGCUAAAUAUUGGCGAGAGACCGAUAGCGAACAAGUACCGUGAGGGAAAGAUGAAAAGAACUUUGAAAAGAGAGUUAAACAGUACGUGAAAUUGUCAAAAGGGAAGCGUUUGACACCAGUGUUGUUUUUCUGAAAAUCAAUUAAAGAACUGUUUAUGCUAAGCUGUUUAGACUUUAUCAGCUAUCUGUUUAGUUUUAGGCUUUUCUUUAAUGCACUUUUCAGUUAACAAGUCAACAUCAAUUUCUUUUGCUGUAAAAAAGCUUGAGGAAGGUGGCUUGAGAUUCGUCUUAAGUGUUUAUAGCCUCUUGCCUAUGCAGUCGGAGAGAUUGAGGUCUGCAGCGUAGAUCCUUCGGGGCUAAAUGCAUUUGUGCUAAGUUAUAGCAUUUUAUAGACAACUUGUUGACUAUGAUUUGUCUUGUAGCUUACUCGCUUAUGUUAUUUUACCUACGCUUAGGAUGUUGAUCUACAGAGCGAGAGU
Molecule: ribosomal RNA, 774 nt
Filed under: uncultured Neocallimastigales
Lineage: Eukaryota; Fungi; Neocallimastigomycota; Neocallimastigomycetes; Neocallimastigales
Description: partial large subunit ribosomal RNA
Rfam family: Eukaryotic large subunit ribosomal RNA
Source: RNAcentral